UACGUAGGGCGCAAGCGUUGUCCGGAAUUAUUGGGCGUAAAGAGCUCGUAGGCGGUCUGUCACGUCGGCUGUGAAAACCCGGGGCUCAACCCCGGGCCUGCAGUCGAUACGGGCAGACUAGAGUGUGGUAGGGGAGACUGGAAUUCCUGGUGUAGCGGUGAAAUGCGCAGAUAUUAGGAGGAACACCGGUGGCGAAGGCGGCUUUCUGGACUGAAACUGACGCUGAGGCACGAAAGCGUGGGGAGCAAACAGG
Molecule: ribosomal RNA, 253 nt
Filed under: uncultured bacterium
Lineage: Bacteria
Description: partial 16S ribosomal RNA
Rfam family: Bacterial small subunit ribosomal RNA
Source: RNAcentral